GGAGAGGUCGCCUAGUCCGGUUUAGGGCGCCCGCCUGGAGAGCGGGUAGGGAGUGACCCUCCCUCGUGGGUUCAAAUCCCACCCUCUCCGCCC
RNAcentral lists this transfer RNA (93 nucleotides) under Dehalococcoidia bacterium. RNAcentral describes it as "tRNA-Ser". It matches the Rfam family "tRNA". From Rfam's summary of the family: Transfer RNA (tRNA) molecules are approximately 80 nucleotides in length. Their secondary structure includes four short double-helical elements and three loops (D, anti-codon, and T loops). The record is from RNAcentral. Lineage: Bacteria; Bacillati; Chloroflexota; Dehalococcoidia.